GGAGACGUGUCAGAGUGGUCUAAUGUACCUCUUUGCUAAAGAGGUGAGGGGGUAAAACUCCUCCGGAGGUUCGAAUCCUCCCGUCUCCG
Molecule: transfer RNA, 89 nt
Filed under: Candidatus Tayloriibacteriota bacterium
Lineage: Bacteria; Candidatus Tayloriibacteriota
Description: tRNA-Ser
Rfam family: tRNA
About the family: Transfer RNA (tRNA) molecules are approximately 80 nucleotides in length.
Source: RNAcentral